RNAcentral lists this ribosomal RNA (292 nucleotides) under uncultured bacterium. RNAcentral's name for it is "partial 16S ribosomal RNA". It matches the Rfam family "Bacterial small subunit ribosomal RNA", at positions 505 to 796 of the family's 1533-position model. The record is from RNAcentral.
GUGCCAGCCGCCGCGGUAAUACGUAGGGUGCGAGCGUUAAUCGGAAUUACUGGGCGUAAAGCGUGCGCAGGCGGUUGGUUAAGUCUGAUGUGAAAGCCCCGGGCUCAACCUGGGAAUGGCAUUGGAAACUGGCUGGCUAGAGUGUGGCAGAGGGGGGUGGAAUUCCGCGUGUAGCAGUGAAAUGCGUAGAGAUGCGGAGGAACACCGAUGGCGAAGGCAGCCCCCUGGGCUGACACUGACGCUCAGGCACGAAAGCGUGGGGAGCAAACAGGAUUAGAUACCCGAGUAGUCC